CCGGCGGGCGGGCGGGCAAAUGGGGCCGAGGACUCUGGCGGGGGCCGGCCGCGGAGCCCCCCCGCCCCGGUCUGGAGAGGCCGGUUAGCCGUCCCGCGCGUCUGCUGAGCGCCCGCUGUUUGGAGCCCUCUGGGUCCUGGGGCUUGGCGGCGAGGGGGAGCUGAGGCGCCUCGCAGGAGGAGCUAGUAAACGGGUGUAGACUGCCCACGUAGAGUGCCAGGCAGUGACCUGGGCCUCGGGAGGAGACCGACCGAGGGCUGGGGCGGUGGAGCGGGGAGGCCGCCCGCGGGGCCCUGAGGACAGGAUGACCGAGAGCCUUGCUUCUCGGGUGGCAGAAACCGGCACGAGACUGAUCAGGACGUUCUAUCAGGAGGGGCACGGCACACCGGUUGAAGGAGGAGAGGCAUCCGUGUGGCCAGGAGCUUGGGGUCUCCCCAUUCCAGUCCAGGACUUCUCAGCUAGUGGUCUGAGCUGGGGUCACCACCCCUCCCCUGCCCUGUCUACUGGAGUGCACACCCGGUGCGGAGCUCUGAGCUCAGUCCUCACACCAACCAUUCUGUCUGGCUUAGGGUGUGGGCUGCAUCCUUCACAGGCGCCAUGCCCGAGUGGGAGCCAGUGAUGGCCACAGAAAGCUGGAGACCGGCCUUGUGGAGGGGGGCUC
RNA transcript from Marmota flaviventris (yellow-bellied marmot), 661 nucleotides. It is a transcript of the gene named oxidoreductase like domain containing 1, with no coding region annotated. The record is from RefSeq and is a predicted model, not a curated record. NCBI's taxonomy places the organism in Eukaryota, Metazoa, Chordata, Mammalia, Rodentia, Sciuridae.